This 119-nucleotide small nuclear RNA is filed under the name Zalophus californianus (California sea lion). RNAcentral's name for it is "U2 spliceosomal RNA (ENSZCAG00015021293.1)". It matches the Rfam family "U2 spliceosomal RNA". Rfam says of the family: U2 is a small nuclear RNA (snRNA) component of the spliceosome (involved in pre-mRNA splicing). Complementary binding between U2 snRNA (in an area lying towards the 5' end but 3' to hairpin I) and the branchpoint sequence (BPS) of the intron results the bulging out of an unpaired adenosine, on the BPS, which initiates a nucleophilic attack at the intronic 5' splice site, thus starting the first of two transesterification reactions that mediate splicing. Lineage: Eukaryota; Metazoa; Chordata; Mammalia; Carnivora; Otariidae. The record is from RNAcentral. RNAcentral also lists the same sequence under 1 other name.
AUCACUUCUCUGCAUUUUGGCUAAGAUCAAGUGUAGUAUCUGUUCUUAUCAGUUUAAUAGUAAGGGACUGUGACACCCCACUUACAUCAAUGGAUAGAUUAUUCAGACAGAAAAUGUAU